CGAUUCGUUAUGGGGAUGUUACCAGGA
RNAcentral lists this non-coding RNA (27 nucleotides) under Bombyx mori (domestic silkworm). The record is from RNAcentral. Lineage: Eukaryota; Metazoa; Arthropoda; Insecta; Lepidoptera; Bombycidae.